Oncorhynchus tshawytscha (Chinook salmon) is the source of this 890-nucleotide long non-coding RNA. RefSeq lists it as uncharacterized. The record is from RefSeq and is a predicted model, not a curated record. NCBI's taxonomy places the organism in Eukaryota, Metazoa, Chordata, Actinopteri, Salmoniformes, Salmonidae. The transcript has 4 exons.
UCGCAGACUUUUGUUAGCGGAUGUACAAUCGUCGCAAAUUGAAUUCUGGGUAGUUUCGGGGCUAGGAGUGAACAUAAUUGUACACUCGCAAAACCGACUAAAAACGAGGGCUGAGGGGCUUGCGUUGCAAACUUCCCUUGCUUGGCUAAUCAUUUGGACCGCCCUCCAAGAUGGCAACGGGGAUUCCCCCAAGGGCAUAAGGCAAUGAAAAGUGGACGAGGAUCUAGCUCUCUCAGGUGUGAGGGGUUUGACCUCAGAGCUGAAGCCAAAGAGGCACAGCCUUCCCAUGUGACCCAACAACAUAACAGCCUGCAGAGAGAGAAACACCUGUCAUUCUGCCAGUUCUGGACACACUGAAAAACAAUUUCUGAUUGCUUUCCUGAACAGUACAUUACUUGCCUGAUGGGUGGCAACAACUUAAAAAAGUGUGUAUUCCCCAGUCCAGCAGAGAGCAGCUUCACUCCUGAAUCCUGUAGGUUAUUGUGACUCAGGUGCAGCUCUCUCAGACUAGAGGAGUUUGAGCUGAGAGCUGAGGCCAGAGACCCACAGCAUUUCUCUGUGAGGUUACAGCAUUUCAGCCUGGGAAUAAAUAUGAAGUUUACAGAGUGGACCCUCCAGGACAGCAGAGAGCAUCUUCACACCUGAGUCUCCUGGUUGGUUGUUGGUCAGGUCCAGCUCUCUCAGAUGUGAGGGGUUUGACCUCAGAGCUGAAGCCAGAGAAGCACAGCUCUCCUCUGUGACUCCACAGCCUACCAUCCUGCAGACAGAGUGGUUCAUUUGUAUAAUAUGCAUUUUCAUAGGACAUGAGGACAUUAUUCAUGUUCAAACAUACAAUUUAGUUUUCCUUUAUCCUUUGUGAACAUGAAUGAAAUAAACAUCACCUCAGUGUU